GUGAGGAAUUUUCCGCAAUGGGCGAAAGCCUGACGGAGCAAUGCCGCGUGAAGGAUGAAGGCCUAUGGGUUGUAAACUUCUUUUCUCAGAAAAGAAUUAUGACGGUAUCUGAGGAAUAAGCAUCGGCUAACUCUGUGCCAGCAGCCGCGGUAAGACAGAGGAUGCAAGCGUUAUCCGGAAUGAUUGGGCGUAAAGCGUCUGUAGGUUGUUUAAAAAGUAUUCUGUCAAAGAUUAGGGCUUAAACCUAGAUAGGCAGAAUAAACUUUUAAGCUAGAGUUUGGUAGAGGCAGAGGGAAUUCCCGGUGGAGCGGUGAAAUGCGUAGAUAUCGGGAGGAACACCAAAGGCGAAGGCACUCUGCUGGGCCAAUACUAACACUGAGAGACGAAAGCGAGGGGAGCAAAUGGGAUUAGAUACCCCUGUAGUCC
Molecule: ribosomal RNA, 426 nt
Filed under: uncultured bacterium
Lineage: Bacteria
Description: bacterial SSU rRNA
Rfam family: Bacterial small subunit ribosomal RNA
Source: RNAcentral